Molecule: long non-coding RNA, 766 nt
Filed under: Homo sapiens (human)
Lineage: Eukaryota; Metazoa; Chordata; Mammalia; Primates; Hominidae
Description: HSALNT0091847
Source: RNAcentral
AGAGAAGUUUCCAGGCCACAGAGAUGCAAGCGUUUCUCUUCAGCGCAAAGCGAAUAGCAGCAGAAAAGAAAACAAUUAUUAGAAGACGGGACCUUUGCUCUAUCUGGGGGAAGGUAAGCUCCCAAACAAAACCUUUUUAAAAAUCCGACUUUCUGAAUGCUCUCUUCUCCAUUCCCAGCUUCUGCCACGUCCCGGGUCCCAGAGUGUGCCUGCUCAGAUCCCAGAAAACUUGCAGGAACAGGAAGAGGUCACACAGUGUUAAGGGGAAGGGAGAACAGGAACGGCGGGUUUCUUACCGCGGUCAAGACCCUGAAGUCAUCUCGGCUCAUGUAACGCAACUUGGCCACAUUCACUUUCCCCAUGGCGGCCCCAGUCCGAACCCAGAUGCCUCUCCGACGACAGCCGCAAAGCGUAAGGCAGCAACAGAAGCUGCUGAUUUCCAUCUGAACUCAUGACGCCUGAGCCAGAGAUGAUGUUUUCCAGCCUUGUUAGAGAUAUAUGUAGUUACAUGUCUAAGUUUUUAUCUGUAUAUAGGAUGGGAGUAGAAAUUAGAAAUGCAGAUUCUGGGUCUUGCUUUAAAACAAUGGAUAUGUGGAUCCUUCUGUUUCAUUUCAAGGCUGGACCUUGACCAUUGUAGUGAAUCAGCUUCACUCAUGCAGGUAAGGGAAAUACUCUCAGGGAAUGUCUGAAAAACAAGAUGGAAGGACCCUAGUUCCCAGGUAUCCCACAGAGCCAGCUACUUUACCAUUUUGCUCCACCUACCUGC